GAGGAAUUGUGCGGCGUGUAGUUGAGGAACACAUAGCCCCGGCACUGGUCGAUGGCAUGGAACAGCGGGUUCCAGUCGAACAUGGCCACCAUGUAGGCGGGCAGGGAAUUCGCCACGAACAUCUUGCCCGAGGCGAUCAUGUUGGCCCGCUG
This 152-nucleotide non-coding RNA is filed under the name Pseudooceanicola batsensis HTCC2597. RNAcentral's name for it is "Oceanicola batsensis HTCC2597 Ruegeria cis2 sRNA". It matches the Rfam family "Ruegeria cis2 sRNA". Rfam says of the family: Cis-encoded. Targets ABC transporter. Functions in transport. Lineage: Bacteria; Pseudomonadati; Pseudomonadota; Alphaproteobacteria; Rhodobacterales; Paracoccaceae. The record is from Rfam by way of RNAcentral.